Molecule: ribosomal RNA, 510 nt
Filed under: uncultured bacterium
Lineage: Bacteria
Description: partial 16S ribosomal RNA
Rfam family: Bacterial small subunit ribosomal RNA
Source: RNAcentral
GACGAACGCUGGCGGCGUGCUUAACACAUGCAAGUCGAACGAAGAGCGAUGGAAGCUUGCUUCUAUCAAUCUUAGUGGCGAACGGGUGAGUAACGCGUAAUCGACCUGCCCUUCAGAGGGGGACAACAGUUGGAAACGACUGCUAAUACCGCAUACGAUCUAAUCUCGGCAUCGAGGAUAGAUGAAAGGUGGCCUCUACAUGUAAGCUAUCACUGAAGGAGGGGAUUGCGUCUGAUUAGCUAGUUGGAGGGGUAACGGCCCACCAAGGCGAUGAUCAGUAGCCGGUCUGAGAGGAUGAACGGCCACAUUGGGACUGAGACACGGCCCAGACUCCUACGGGAGGCAGCAGUGGGGAAUCUUCCGCAAUGGACGAAAGUCUGACGGAGCAACGCCGCGUGAGUGAUGACGGCCUUCGGGUUGUAAAGCUCUGUUAAUCGGGACGAAAGGCCUUCUUGCGAAUAGUGAGAAGGAUUGACGGUACCGGAAGAGAAAGCCACGGCUAACUACGUG